RNAcentral lists this ribosomal RNA (539 nucleotides) under uncultured bacterium. RNAcentral's name for it is "bacterial SSU rRNA". It matches the Rfam family "Bacterial small subunit ribosomal RNA", at positions 9 to 549 of the family's 1533-position model. The record is from RNAcentral.
GAGUUUGAUCCUGGCUCAGGAUGAACGCUGGCGGCGUGCCUAACACAUGCAAGUCGAGCGAAAAGUUAAAGAAUGAUCCUUCGGGUGAAUGAUUUGAUGGACAGCGGCGGACGGGUGAGUAACGCGUGGAUAACCUGCCUUAUACUGGGGGAUAACGUUUUGAAAAGAACGCUAAUACCGCAUAAGCGCACAGCACCGCAUGGUGUAGUGUGAAAAACUCCGGUGGUAUAAGAUGGAUCCGCGUCAGAUUAGCUAGUUGGUGAGAUAAAAGCUCACCAAGGCGACGAUCUGUAGCCGACCUGAGAGGGUGAUCGGCCACAUUGGGACUGAGACACGGCCCAAACUCCUACGGGAGGCAGCAGUGGGGAAUAUUGCACAAUGGAGGAAACUCUGAUGCAGCGACGCCGCGUGAAGGAUGAAGGUUAUCGGAUCGUAAACUUCUAUCAGCAGGGAAGAUAGUGACUGUACCUGACUAAGAAGCCCCGGCUAACUACGUGCCAGCAGCCGCGGUAAUACGUAUGGGGCAAGCGUUAUCCGGA